UAUACGUUGCCUCGGCGGAUCAGCCCGCGCCCCGUAAAACGGGACGGCCCGCCCGAGGACCCCUAAACUCUGUUUUUAGUGGAACUUCUGAGUAAAACAAACAAAUAAAUCAAAACUUUCAACAACGGAUCUCUUGGUUCUGGCAUCGAUGAAGAACGCAGCAAAAUGCGAUAAGUAAUGUGAAUUGCAGAAUUCAGUGAAUCAUCGAAUCUUUGAACGCACAUUGCGCCCGCCAGUAUUCUGGCGGGCAUGCCUGUUCGAGCGUCAUUUCAACCCUCAAGCUCAGCUUGGUGUUGGGACUCGCGGUAACCACCCGCGUUCCCCAAAUCGAUUGGCGGUCACGUCGAGCUUCCAUAGCGUAGUAAUCAUACACCUCGUUACUGGUAAUCGUCGCGGCCACGCCGUAAAACCCCAACUUCUGAAUGUUGACCUCGGAUCAGGUAGGAAUACCCGCUGAACUUAAGCAU
This 467-nucleotide ribosomal RNA is filed under the name Fusarium longipes. RNAcentral's name for it is "eukaryotic LSU rRNA". The stretch from base 114 to 267 matches the Rfam family "5.8S ribosomal RNA". The record is from RNAcentral. Lineage: Eukaryota; Fungi; Ascomycota; Sordariomycetes; Hypocreales; Nectriaceae.